This 392-nucleotide ribosomal RNA is filed under the name uncultured bacterium. Its description in RNAcentral is "bacterial SSU rRNA". It matches the Rfam family "Bacterial small subunit ribosomal RNA", at positions 28 to 418 of the family's 1533-position model. The record is from RNAcentral.
AUUGAACGCUGGCGGCGUGCCUAACACAUGCAAGUCGAGCGGUAAGGCCCUUUCGGGGGUACACGAGCGGCGAACGGGUGAGUAACACGUGGGUGACCUGCCUUUAGCUCUGGGAUAAGCCUGGGAAACCGGGUCUAAUACCGGAUAUGACUCCGCGGCGCAUGUUGUGGGGUGGAAAGCCUUGUGCGGCUGGAGAUGGGGCCCGCGGCCUAUCAGCUUGUUGGUGGGGUGAUGGCCUACCAAGGCGACGACGGGUAGCCGGCCUGAGAGGGCGACCGGCCACACUGGGACUGAGACACGGCCCAGACUCCUACGGGAGGCAGCAGUGGGGAAGUCUUGCGCAAUAGGGCGAAAGCCUGACGCAGCGACGCCGCGUGAGGGAUGACGGCCUU